GACGAACGCUGGCGGCGUGCUUAACACAUGCAAGUCGAGCGGUAAGGCCCUUUCGGGGGUACGACGAGCGGCGAACGGGUGAGUAACACGUGGGUGACCUGCCCUCAGCUCUGGGAUAAGCCUGGGAAACCGGGUCUAAUACUGGAUAUGACUCCAUGACGCAUGUUGUGGGGUGGAAAGCCUUGUGCGGCUGAGGAUGGGCCCGCGGCCUAUCAGCUUGUUGG
This 224-nucleotide ribosomal RNA is filed under the name uncultured bacterium. Its description in RNAcentral is "partial 16S ribosomal RNA". It matches the Rfam family "Bacterial small subunit ribosomal RNA", at positions 28 to 252 of the family's 1533-position model. The record is from RNAcentral.